GCGCGCGCGCGAUCCGCCCAGCUGGGCCGCUCACAUGACCCGCCUCUCGGCGCCGCCCGGCCCGCGCUGAAGCCGUGGUGGCUGCCAUGUUGACUGUGGGAAUGGAAGUUCCCCCCCUCCAACCAGACCAGACGACUGGCGGCUCCGGGGCGGUCGGGCUUUGUGAAGUCCGAGACAGGCCAUGUCUAGUGUGGGCAUGGUCCUGGCGCGGCGGGCAGCGCUGGGCUCGCGUCCGGGGAUGGACCCCGUGGGUGGGUCUCCGUCUUCUGAUCUGAAGGCGAAGGCCUUGGGAAGGUGCGGAGAUCAGAUUGCCGCCCCUUACCAGACGCUGGAAGAAGUGAUGGGCAUGGCCCUGACCGGUCCUGAGCAACCCAGCCCUGCCAGGCUCCCGAGGGACCCGGACUGCUUGCGUGCAUACCGGAACGCCAUCACAGAGUCUGGCACAUCCCGGAAGGCUGGUCUUCCAGGUGGCACCUUGGACUUGGAAUGAAACGAACAUUCAGCCCUGGAACCCAUGCUCUGAGAGCGCCCGGGCCACACUGAGAGGCCCACAUGGAAUCAAGCAACCCAAAGCCCUUAGCCCCAGGCCCUGGCUGAGCUCCGGCUGACAACCAGCACCAACUUGCCAGCUGUGUGAGGGGGCAAUCCUGGAAGUGGGUCGAUCCACCCUAUGGUGCUGCUACAGCAGGGACAAGCCUUCCCUGUCCAGCCCUGCCCAGGUGGCAGACUCCUGGGCAAAAUAAAUUACUGUAUUGUUUUAACCUGUUA
Molecule: long non-coding RNA, 768 nt
Organism: Mustela lutreola (European mink)
Lineage: Eukaryota; Metazoa; Chordata; Mammalia; Carnivora; Mustelidae
Exons: 2
Source: RefSeq, a predicted model, not a curated record